ACGGCUAUACAUUGCUGAAUAUACCGGUUCUCGUUCGAUCACCGAAGUCAAGCAUCAUCGGGCACGGUCAGUACUUGGGAGGGUGACCACCUAGGAACAUCGCUUGCCGU
Molecule: ribosomal RNA, 110 nt
Filed under: Caerostris extrusa
Lineage: Eukaryota; Metazoa; Arthropoda; Arachnida; Araneae; Araneidae
Source: RNAcentral